This 72-nucleotide transfer RNA is filed under the name Dipodomys ordii (Ord's kangaroo rat). It matches the Rfam family "tRNA". From Rfam's summary of the family: Transfer RNA (tRNA) molecules are approximately 80 nucleotides in length. Their secondary structure includes four short double-helical elements and three loops (D, anti-codon, and T loops). Lineage: Eukaryota; Metazoa; Chordata; Mammalia; Rodentia; Heteromyidae. The record is from Rfam by way of RNAcentral.
GGAAACAUGGCUCUGUGGUAGAGUGCCUGCCUGGCAAGUGUGAGGCCUUGAGUUCAAAUCCCCAUACCUCCA